GACGAACGCUGGCGGCGUGCCUAAUACAUGCAAGUAGAACGCUGAAGGAGGAGCUUGCUUUCUGGAUGAGUUGCGAACGGGUGAGUAACGCGUAGGUAACCUGCCUGGUAGCGGGGGAUAACUAUUGGAAACGAUAGCUAAUACCGCAUAAGAGUAGAUGUUGCAUGACAUUUGCUUAAAAGGUGCAAUUGCAUCACUACCAGAUGGACCUGCGUUGUAUUAGCUAGUUGGUGAGGUAACGGCUCACCAAGGCAACGAUACAUAGCCGACCUGAGAGGGUGAUCGGCCACACUGGGACUGAGACACGGCCCAGACUCCUACGGGAGGCAGCAGUAGGGAAUCUUCGGCAAUGGACGGAAGUCUGACCGAGCAACGCCGCGUGAGUGAAGAAGGUUUUCGGAUCGUAAAGCUCUGUUGUAAGAGAAGAACGAGUGUGAGAGUGGAAAGUCACACUGUGACGUAUCUACCA
This 469-nucleotide ribosomal RNA is filed under the name Streptococcus mitis. RNAcentral's name for it is "bacterial SSU rRNA". It matches the Rfam family "Bacterial small subunit ribosomal RNA", at positions 28 to 485 of the family's 1533-position model. Lineage: Bacteria; Bacillati; Bacillota; Bacilli; Lactobacillales; Streptococcaceae. The record is from RNAcentral.